RNAcentral lists this ribosomal RNA (465 nucleotides) under Vreelandella stevensii. RNAcentral's name for it is "partial 16S ribosomal RNA". It matches the Rfam family "Bacterial small subunit ribosomal RNA", at positions 338 to 795 of the family's 1533-position model. Lineage: Bacteria; Pseudomonadati; Pseudomonadota; Gammaproteobacteria; Oceanospirillales; Halomonadaceae. The record is from RNAcentral.
CCUACGGGAGGCUGCAGUGGGGAAUAUUGGACAAUGGGGGGAACCCUGAUCCAGCCAUGCCGCGUGUGUGAAGAAGGCCCUCGGGUUGUAAAGCACUUUCAGUGAGGAAGAACGCCUGGUGGUUAAUACCCAUCAGGAAAGACAUCACUCACAGAAGAAGCACCGGCUAACUCCGUGCCAGCAGCCGCGGUAAUACGGAGGGUGCGAGCGUUAAUCGGAAUUACUGGGCGUAAAGCGCGCGUAGGUGGCUUGAUAAGCCGGUUGUGAAAGCCCCGGGCUCAACCUGGGAACGGCAUCCGGAACUGUCAAGCUAGAGUGCAGGAGAGGAAGGUAGAAUUCCCGGUGUAGCGGUGAAAUGCGUAGAGAUCGGGAGGAAUACCAGUGGAGAAGGCGGCCUUCUGGACUGACACUGACACUGAGGUGCGAAAGCGUGGGUAGCAAACAGGAUUAGAUACCCGUGUAGUC